CCUACGGGAGGCAGCAGUGGGGAAUAAUGGGCAAUGGGCGCAAGCCUGACCCAGCAACGCCGCGUGAAGGAAGAAGGCCCUCGGGUUGUAAACUUCUUUUAUUCGGGACGAAACAAAUGACGGUACCGAAUGAAUAAGCCACGGCUAACUACGGGCCAGCAGCCGCGGGAAUACGUAGGUGGCAAGCUUUAUCCGGAUUUACUGGGUGUAAAGGGCGAGUAGGCGGGAGCGCAAGUCAGACGGGAAAUUCCAGGGCUCAACCCUGGAACUGGCUUUGAAACUGUUCUUCUUGAGUGAUGGAGCGGCAGGCGGCAUUCCGUUUGUAGCGGUGAAAUGCGUAGAUAUACGGAG
RNAcentral lists this ribosomal RNA (351 nucleotides) under uncultured bacterium. Its description in RNAcentral is "partial 16S ribosomal RNA". It matches the Rfam family "Bacterial small subunit ribosomal RNA", at positions 338 to 703 of the family's 1533-position model. The record is from RNAcentral.